RNAcentral lists this ribosomal RNA (468 nucleotides) under uncultured bacterium. RNAcentral's name for it is "partial 16S ribosomal RNA". It matches the Rfam family "Bacterial small subunit ribosomal RNA", at positions 28 to 507 of the family's 1533-position model. The record is from RNAcentral.
GACGAACGCUGGCGGCGUGCUUAACACAUGCAAGUCGAACGGAAAGGCCCUGCUUUGCUGGGGUACUCGAGUGGCGAACGGGUGAGUAACACGUGGGUAAUCUGCCCUUGACUUUGGGAUAACUUGGGGAAACUGGGGCUAAUACCGGAUAGGACCUCCUGCUGCAUGUUGGGGGGUAGAAUGUUUCGGCGGUGGGGGAUGGACGCGCGGCUUAUCAGUUUGUGGGGGGGGUGGGGGCUUACGAAGGCUUUGACGGGUAGCCGCGCUGAGGGGGUGACCGGACACAUUGGGACUGAGAUACGGCCCAGACCCCUGCGGGGGGGAGGAGGGGGGAAUAUUGCAAAAGGGGCGGAACCCUGACGCAGCAGCGCCGUGGGGGGUAUGGGGCCUUGGGGUUUAAAAACCGUUUGCGCAGGUCACGAAGUGUGUGUGACGGUACCUGGUAAAGAAGCACCGGCUAACUACGUG